GCAGUAGCACUGUCUUUCUUGGAUAAAGUCUGCAUCUCCUACCAAGAAAAAAUCUAAGAGGUAUUGCCAAGCUAAUGCACAUGGUUAAAGUAACUGCCCCAUUGCCCCUUUUCUUUCUUUCUUUUAAUUUUUUUGUUCUAGGUUUACUGCACUUGCCUCUAGCAGUUAUGGAAUUCUAUGCCACUCAAAUCCUCUAUCUGUUGCAAAAAUGUGCAUCCCAAGAUGGUGCUCUUGAGCUGUGGUGCAGUAUCUUCAGACAGACACUGUGGGUCCCACAAUGAAGCAAUGGAGAAAAAAGACACCACUAAAGAACCACCAGGGUGCAGCAUUCCUGAGUGGCAGAAGCCAUGCAGGAAAUGGCAGUAUGUACAGCUGGCACUUUGAAGAACAAUGAAUUCCUUCAAGGCUCUGUGCAGACAUUUCAAACAGUGGAUACCAGACAGGCUUGGCAUAGCUUAGACUCAAUUAUAGCUAGAAUUAUUUUAUUUCUGGGUAGGUAACUGAGAGAAGCAGGAAUUGUGCAUGUAUCUCCAUAUGGUUUUAUUUUUAAAGAAUGAAAUAGCAACAAAUAUAAACAACUGCUGUAACAGCAAAGAGCAUAAUUUCUUCUAAAAUGAGGAUUAUAUUUAGAACACUCCAAAUGGGGACACACUGUCUGACAAGAAGUCAGAAUAUCGGAAAAUGGAAGUGUCUUACUUAAUUAAAUAACCCUGAAGUAAUUUAAUAUCAUGAGUAGAUGCUGCAUCUUAGUCCAGGGAUUUUUAAAGUGUGGUUCCUGGAAGAGCUGGAUCAGAGUCAUCUGUGUUGAUGGUUUAACAUAAAGAUUUUCGAGCCCCAAGACUCAAGUAGGACAAGGAAUUUGAAUUUUUAAGCAGCUCACCUGACUUGUCUGUCCUCUAAUGUCUGAAGACAUCUGACCUCUGCUCUUUCAGUAAAAGCAACAAUGGUUUUAUGAGCAUUGUCGUCACAUCUCUCCACUCAAGGGAUCCUUCUCAUUUCUCCCAGCUGAGGUCACCCACAGCUGCUGCUUCUAACUGCUGGCUUCCAGCCUGCUGUCUGCCAGCUGGCUCUACCCUCUCCUAUAACACGGCAGAGAGUAGCUGUGGUCUCCUGCGUGCUCACCCUCUGCUCCCUUGGUCCUGCUCCAUGCUUUGGUCCUGCACUUAAAUUUUACAAGCAUACUCUCUUUCUCUUAAGUAACUGCCUGAAAAGCCAAGAAGUAGAGUGACGGGGUGGUGUUGAAGGUGGCAGACUGAUGAAGAUAAGGAGAAAUGAAUUUGGAAAAGGAGGGAGGAGCAAACCAAUGAAGAGUUGUAAAAACCAGAAAAGCAAUUCUGGAUUAGAUUUAGAAGUGGCAGAAUGACAAGGUGAAGUUUUCUAUAGGGAGAAAGUUGCUAGGUUGCCUCAUUUGAGACAGCCUGGAAUUUUUGAAAAGCGGAAAUUAAAAAAAAAAACUAGA
Molecule: long non-coding RNA, 1459 nt
Filed under: Homo sapiens (human)
Lineage: Eukaryota; Metazoa; Chordata; Mammalia; Primates; Hominidae
Description: PREDICTED lncRNA (TCONS_00227015)
Source: RNAcentral